Molecule: ribosomal RNA, 695 nt
Filed under: uncultured bacterium
Lineage: Bacteria
Description: bacterial SSU rRNA
Rfam family: Bacterial small subunit ribosomal RNA
Source: RNAcentral
CGCACGCGCAGCCGGGGCCCUUUCGGGGCGCCGGUGGGCGAGUGGCGCACGGGUGAGUAACGCGUAGACAAUCUGCCUUUAAGCGGGGGAUAACCGUUGGAAACGAUGGCUAAUACCGCAUACAGUCGACGAGCCGCAUGGUUGGUCGAUCAAAGCCUUCGGGCGCUUUUAGAUGGGUCUGCGUCGGAUUAGCUAGUUGGUGAGGUAACAGCUCACCAAGGCGAUGAUCCGUAGCUGGUCUGAGAGGAUGAUCAGCCACACUGGGACUGAGACACGGCCCAGACUCCUACGGGAGGCAGCAGUGAGGAAUCUUGCGCAAUGGGGGCAACCCUGACGCAGCCACGCCGCGUGGAGGAAGACACCCCUAUGGGGCGUAAACUCCUUUUCUGCGGGAAGAACCCCCGGGAUGCCCGGGCUGACGGUACCGCAGGAAUAAGGACCGGCUAACUCCGUGCCAGCAGCCGCGGUAAUACGGAGGGUCCAAGCGUUGUCCGGAAUUAUUGGGUGUAAAGGGUCCGCAGGCGGGAUAGCAAGUCGGAGGUGAAAGCCCUCGGCUCAACCGAGGAAGUGCCUUCGAUACUGCUAUCCUUGAGUCCCGGAGAGGCUCCUGGAAUUCGUGGUGUAGCGGUGAAAUGCGUAGAUAUCACGAGGAACACCAGAAGCGAAAGCGAGGAGCUGGACGGGUACUGACGCUC